Molecule: long non-coding RNA, 4731 nt
Organism: Ornithodoros turicata
Lineage: Eukaryota; Metazoa; Arthropoda; Arachnida; Ixodida; Argasidae
Exons: 3
Source: RefSeq, a predicted model, not a curated record
UUUCGGGUCCAGGGCUCCCAGGGAUUGGUCAACCCUUACCACGUGAGAGUUAAUUUUGUAGAGAACAAAGUUGACGCACAUUAUCUUACAGCUAAACGCCAUUUUAAAAAUGACGCUCACUUCCAUAGCUUUUACGUUAAUAAAGCAUUCAGCUACUUCGCCGCUACGAGCUACGAUCCGCCGCGCCAUCUGCAAGGACAUCUGUGUUAUCGCGUUUAUUGUUUACGUCGUGGGUGGUCAUGUUGGUCGCACGAAGCAGAAACGAGAAAGUAUAGUGAACGACAUGUUCGUGGCUGUUGUGUCAAUUAUUCGAGAGACCUACAUAUGCUUGGUGUAGUUUUGGUGUUGGGGGAUGCAAAAAUCAUGUUCGUUCACCAUCGGCGGCGGGAGUUUUCUACCACAAGAUUCAACAGGAGAGUGCGCGAAAACGAAUGUGGUUCGAAACACACGGUUAUUAGAUGCAGCAGUCGUGUCGUGUGUGCUGAGCUCAUUUUGCUGCCGAUGACUACGAAUAUCCCGUAGAAGGCGAAUUGCGAAGACGUAACGAAGCACACUGAUGCUCCGUACCCAGUGAUUGUGGUUCACCGAGGUGACGAGUUCAACACAACGUCUUAGGGGCCUUCCAGUGUUGAAGUAGCGCAAGACUGCUUCGUGUGUGUGUGAUCCGGGCACUCAAGUUGACAUGACAGAAAUAGCUGAAAGCAGGUAUGCAAAAUCCACAGAUGGAAGCACUAGAUUUGUUACGUAUUGCAGACUUUGUGACAUUUUUUGGAGUCUUUGGACAGGUGCAGAACAUUAGUAUGACGUCAACAAUAGGAGAAGAAACCGAUGAGUACUACUAGCUUGUUUGAAGGGUACAAGAAUACUUCCUGUUGAGGUGUAGUUAUGACUUUAUGACUAAGGAACGCUAAUUAAUUUUCUAGAGAUGCAUCUUCUACACUUGAAUGCCCAAUGAAACAGCGAACGUUCAUUGUCUUUGAAGCCCCACUACUGGAAUUGUUCAAUGUGUGUCAGAGCUGUAGUGAGUCAUGCAAGGUUACCACAUCAUAUUGGUCCUAAAUUUGCAGAGUUCCCCUAUCUCGGACGCAACUGUCAUUUCUCUUUAUUACUCUUCCGAUCCUACCUUCUCAGAGAUUAGUGUGGUUCAUCAUACACUGCAUGGGCACUGCCUUUCUCUACUCAUGCUUUCGGUUUCUUGUUCUGUUGAAUAAAUCUUCACUUGAGUUUGCAGCCAUCACCCUGUCUACUGUGUUUGCCCCUCAUCUAUAUUGAUGUGCUAUACCGGUAUAGCACAUCAACAUGCCAACAACCUACCAACAACUACCAAACAACCUUGCCUAGACCUACUUUUGGAUGGAAACUACACGAUGUGGUAACAUCCACGUAUAUAAAGUUUUAGUCGACGGAGAUUUGCUGUUUUUGUACAGCCUUCAUUGUACAUUUCUUUUAGCAUGCCUGAAGAAAUGUUCUCAUCUUCAUCAAGAUGACAGGUCAUUGUUUGAUCUGCAGCAUUAUUGUUCCUGUAAUCUUUUCACCAACAGAGAAUACAAAAGUAAACAAAUGGUUUUACAACUCUAUCAAGUACGUCAAAACAUCAGAGGGCAGGGAGUCCUACUCUGUUUCCUAAAUCCCUGGACAGUAAAAAAGAAAGAUAUAGUUUGAGUUGUGACAAAACGUUGCUUCUGCUCUUAUAUCACAUUUCAAUCAAAUGUUACGAUGCAUUUGUAGUGUACACUGAAGCCAGUUUCAAUUUGCAGGGCUGUCAAAAGUACUUUACAAAAGCCAUUUUGGAGUACUAUGCACACCAAUGGUGCAUGGUUAACUUUGAACCCAGAUCAAGGGUUAAUAAUAAUUGAAGUCAGCCCUCAAGUCCUUCUUUACAAAUGUUAGUUGGUGACGUGAUAUGAAUCAGUUAGAAGUACUCCGUUUAGCAAAACAGGGUUAAUUAAGUGCUAAAUCCCAACCUUAGUUCAAAUAUUAAUUGACAUUUGGAAACGACGUGGUCACUAAGAAGUAUACUAAAAGGUUAUGAACACAGUUCAGCUGAAUGACACUUAUGAAAAUUAUCUUACUUACUCCUCACAUAUACAAUUGAGACAUGAGUAUAACCUACAAAUACAUCUAUGCCCACAGGUUACUUAACCCUCCACGAACAAACUAGGAAUUAUAAUAUGCUGUGACAGCAAAGAAAAAGCAAUGAGAACAACUUGCAGCAAACAAGAAAUGAAAAUAUGCUGACAACAUUUCUACAGGUCAGCGCACUGAUGGGAAAGCAUCCCUAUAGCAUGCAUGCAUGACGCAGAUCGCGAUUCAGUGGAGUACUUUCUAUUGUAUUUUCUCGGAGCACCCCAUAUCCUUCUUGUGAAUGGCCGACAGGUGGUAUAACGGAAUUUCCUGCAGAAAUAAGGGUUUUCCGUCCAGUUUGCCGUUCAAGUAGCGCGCAAAGACCACACGAUGCUGCCGUGUAUGUUGCCAUGCUCUUCGGUUUCUCGGAUGUAUGUAAAAGACACUUGCAGUACUUCGGUGUCAAGGCACAGUAUCUCGAAAAAUUCGUUAGUUCUGAAGCAAUCGUCUGUCUGCUUUUCACACGCAUUCUCUACCUCUCAGCAGCAAAAACCGUAGUAUCCAUCCGUAGUAUCCGUCGGUUUGCAUUUCACACAUGAACACCUGCACGACGAAAAAACAUCGCUUGUUUCGGCUUACACAAGUGCUUCUCCAUGAUACAUGGAAAUUUCACAAAGCAGUCCAUGUUCACGGCACGGUGAGCUACUGCUGAGGACGAAUGUGACUCAAAUUAAUCUCUGGACGAGGAAUCUUCUGCUGCGAGGAACACACUUUCCAGCACGCUAACGCACGAACAACAGUUCUGUGUGAGCGACAGUUCUCGAAUGCAGAAUUCCAGCGCACUCAUGUUCAAGAGGCUCGACAUUCUCGACGUAGAAAGCAGUCACAAAUGCCCACUGCGAUUUUCGUUUUCGACGGAUUAGCGCCCGGAAGUGCGCGUAUUACACGCGUCCUCGACAGAUGGCGCGGGGUCAUGCAAUUGUUGACAGACUGCUCGGUUUCCUACUAGGUGCCUCGACAUGCAAUUAUGGAAAAUUCGAUUACAGAAAAACUACAGCGAUUUCAGCGGAGUUCUUUGAUAUUUGAACUUUUGAAGGUUCAAGCUUUUCGCUGAACAUAAAGUUUCGAUAGGUUUAUAUUCACUUUUCGGUCCCUUUAAAUAGAUAAUUUCUUCAACAGCACUCGGGCGUCUGAACGAUGCAAUGAACCACAGAUCCCAAAGUGUCACAGCGUUUAAUUGUUCAGUUACAUGGACAAAAUUACUGUUUGGUUGCACGGUCUCCUAAUGACGUACCACUGGAUGUCAAGCGCAAGAAUUAGCAGUUUUGUGCACUUUUCCCUACCACACGAUCGAAAUAUGAUCGAGAGCGUAAAGGUGUUGGUAAACCUGUGGAGUUGUGGCGACCCAUUGAUACUGGUGACUGGCUACAAUAUGUAAGCGUGGUAGCGCACGCCAUCCCGAGCGUUGAAGGCUGAGGAGCAAAAUCUUACGUGCGCUAGCGGAGACAGCAGCCUCAUUCUCACAUUUGGUCUUCAUUGGUCCGAUCUUCCAGGCAACCUGUUUGCCUGUAUAUCAUUCUGUGCGCUGCUGUCAGCUUGCAGCUUUACACACUCAUAUCGACGCAAACAAAAUUACGCAUCUAUGCAAUAUAAAUCGGGGCGAACUGUCACAACACCUGCAGGUGGAAAUUGCUGGAUGUCAUUGUCCUUAACAUUCGAGGACGUUACCUUCAUUACUUCAAGAUCCAUAUCCGGAAAUAUCACCAUACACGCAGUCCGCCCUCCACGAACUGUGGUAUAUACACCUGUCAUAUAGGGGCGCUCUCCCGUUACCAUUGAACAUGCGCCUAGCGACGCCAAACGCGUAACGCGCUAACCUUUCAGGGAGCAUUGGAUCCAAUACUGUUUGAAAAAUUGAUAUGUUUCACACUUGGUGGCGCUAAGCGCAUAUUGAACGGCCAUUUGUUGCAAUGCUCAUUUUAGAGUGCCCGCGUGACAGCGGGUAGAUUCUGAAAUGUGCACUCUAAAAACGGAACUUGACCGGAUGACACGCUUCCCCUCCAACCAUUAUUCAGAAUGAUAUCUUUUUCUUCUUCAGUAUGUUGGCAAUUGAAAAUGUACGCCCUUAUGUAUCACGUAAUGUUUUAUCCAAGUUGAUCCAAAAAGGGGUACAACAAAGAAAAACUUUACUUUUGAAUGGGGAGUUUCAUCGCAAUGGGAUAUACUCUACCCCAACGCUGGUGGUGAGGUGGGGAAUGAAAUAAUGAGCCCCUUCAUAAUAACGAUCGAAGUCCUAUACUGUCCAAAAAUGUCAAAAAACGUCCAAAUGUCCCAAAGAAAUGUCCAAAAGCGUUGGUGGGCUGGAUUUGGCCAGGCACCAGGCAAUUUUGAGAGAGGGAGCGGGCGAGAGUCCAGCUGAUAGAGAGACCCGGGAGUAGGAAGGAAAGGAAAGAUAACGAUAUUAUUCUGAAUGUCGGUUGGUUCACUUUUAGAAUGUACGACUCGGUCAAUCCUUGGCGACAUGCUGCGGAAGAGGAUGUUUCUUCUCUCGGCAUUUGUUUAUCCAAUGCUAGUUUCCUUUGAUUUUCAUCAUCCCCAGGCAGUUUUGAGCCAUGUAACAUGACCACAGUCGCUGCUGAGUGAUGACAUCAUUAAGAGUUUGAAUAU